UUUCAACCUGCUUCUCAAAGAGUUCUAAGCGAGUUGUCAAAUAAUUACUAGAGCAUUUGUUAAUUUUGAUCUCACACUUGUUAGGGUUAACAUUCAUUCCCAUAAUAAACAUAUUUUUGACAGAUUCUGCAUUCACAAAUUUCAGGCUAGCUUCUAAGUCAGGAGACGGUGUUUCUUGGUUCUGUUUAUUUUCUGCAACUUGUGCAAUUUUUGCAUCUGAUUUUUUAUAAUCAGCAACUUCUUGACUGUCUUUAAGAGGACAUACUUUAUUCCUCUUGUAACCAAUAUUUGACUCUUCCACAUCUUCUUCCAAAUUGCG
Molecule: unclassified non-coding RNA, 319 nt
Filed under: Hevea brasiliensis (rubber tree)
Lineage: Eukaryota; Viridiplantae; Streptophyta; Magnoliopsida; Malpighiales; Euphorbiaceae
Source: RNAcentral